CAGUCGCCACGGUAAUACGUAGGGUGCAAGCGUUAAUCGGAAUUACUGGGCGUAAAGCGUGCGCAGGCGGUUUGUUAAGACAGAUGUGAAAUCCCCGGGCUCAACCUGGGAACUGCAUUUGUGACUGGCAGGCUAGAGUAUGGCAGAGGGGGGUGGAAUUCCGCGUGUAGCAGUGAAAUGCGUAGAUAUGCGGAGGAACAGCGAUGGCGAAGGCAGCCCCCUGGGCCAAUACUGACGCUCAUGCACGAAAGCGUGGGGAGCAAACAGGAUUAGAUACCCCUGUAGUCCCUGUCUCUUAUAC
This 301-nucleotide ribosomal RNA is filed under the name uncultured bacterium. RNAcentral's name for it is "partial 16S ribosomal RNA". It matches the Rfam family "Bacterial small subunit ribosomal RNA", at positions 509 to 807 of the family's 1533-position model. The record is from RNAcentral.